AAGUAAGGGCUCAGAUGUCAUCUUUUAGUGCCUUGGACAGUGUGACCUCCCUGUAAACAGGGAUCUGGUCUCUCCAUUUAAGUUGAGUUCCUUUUACUGGGCUGAUGACAAUGAUUGUCCUUUAAGGAGGUGAAUUUAGCUCAGGUGCCUGUGACUCACAGGAAGUACAGCAUCCCUUAGUACUUGGGCAUUGUGGCCACCCUGUAUAGAGGGUUCAGGUUCUGCCUUUUGUUCUUUUGCCACCAUGCUACUUCAGCCAUUUGGUUUGAGUCCUGACCCUGUAAUUAAGGGAUUGUUUGUGUCCUUCUGCCUUCUGGGGGAUAUUGAGCUCUGUGGACCCCUGAGCAGUGUGACCGCCCUGUAACUAGGGUCCCGGUCUUUGCCACUUGCUUUUUUGGCAUUAGGCCAUGCUUGGCUCACUAGUCAGCAUGACAGCCCUGUAAUUAGGGUGCAUGUCACAAGUAACUAUAGAAUAGGACAUAUUGAGUCCUUUGGUACUUUGAGGAGCUCGACCUUCCUGUAAUUCAGGUUACGGUCCCUGCUAUUUGGCUAAUCCCAGCGACCACCCUGUAAUCAGGGUACAGGUGGCAUCUCUCUUUUGAAAUCUUUGGAAUUGGAACCAUUUCAGUAACAUGGGCAGUUUGAACUCCCUGUAACUAGGGUUUGGUCUCCGAGGCCCUUUGGUCUCUUGGCAUUGUGCUUUCUUCACAGCCUGAGGCGAGUGACCGCCCUGUAAUCAGGCAAUCUGUUCUUGGCCCUCUGGUCUCUUCGCACUAGGUCAAGUGCAGCCCACUGAUCUGAAUGAGCACCCUGUAAACAGGGUACAGGUCUCAUCAGACACUAUUUAUGGUGCCCCCAUGAGACUGUGUCCAGAGUCCUGGCCCUUCACACUGCGCUUCCAACUUGCCUGGAAUUGUGCAGCCAAGUCUCCUGCUUUCUGCUCCGCUUACUGUGCUUUUGGAGACCCGACAUCCUGCUGCUGUUGCUGGCAGCUCCGAGCACAAGUGGACAAGAAGGAAGUGUCAGAAACGUCAAGCAAAGAAGAGUAACGAGGACAAGUCACUGAAGAUGGAGGAGAAGGAAAGGGACUCUGGGCACUGUAACCUCCCUGUAUCAAGCCUCAGGUCAUGUAAUUACACUGUAUGGGGAUCUCGAGCCUUUUAAUACCUUGAGCAGCGUGACCGCCCUGUAAUCAGGAUCCAGGUCUGUGCUGUUUUGUCCUUUCAACAUUAUGCUCCAUUAGCUGGCUAGUGAGAGUGACUGCCCUGUAAUCAGGGUGCAAGUCACCCCCUCCCCUCGCUUUCAAGGGAAUUGAGCUCUUUGGUAACUUGAGCAAUGUGACCGCCCUGUAACUAGGGUCCAGGUCUUUGCCCGCUUGCUCGUUUGGCAUUACGCCGUACACUGGCCGACUACUCAGUGUGACCGCCCUGUAAUUAGGGAGCAGGUCACAAAUAUCUAUAGAAUGGGACAUAUUGAGUCCUUUGGUACUUUGAGGAGCUCGACCUUCCUGUAAUUCAGGUUACGGUCUCUGCUAUUUUGCUAAUUCCAGCGACCACUCUGUAAUCAGGGCACAGGUGGCAUCUCUCUUUUGAAUUCUUCGGAAUUGGAACCAUUUCAGUAACAUGGGCAGCUUGAACUCCCUGUAACUAGGGUUUGGUCUCCAAGGCCCUUUGGGUCUCUUGGCAUUGUGCUUUCUUCACAGCCUGAGGCGAGUGACCGCCCUGUAAUCAGGGAUCUGGUCUUUGCCCUCUAUUCUCUUGGCACUAGGUCAAGUGCAGCCCACUGAUCUGAAUGAGCACCCUGUAAACAGGGUACAGGUCUCAUCAGACACUAUUUAUGGUGCCCCCAUGAGACAGUGUCCAGAGUCCUGGCCCUUUGCACUGCGCUUCCAUCUUGCCUGGAAUUGUGCAGCCAAGUCUCCUGCUUUCUGCUCCGCUUACUGUGCUCUUCGAUACCCGACAUCCUGCUGCUUUUGCUGGAGAAUGGGACAAAACCGAAAAACGAGAAAAGAGACGCUAAUAGCCUGUGAAGAAGAAGAAAGGAAACAAAUUCUGAGAGCAAAGUACAGUUGUGUGAUCUAUUUCAAAGGGUUUAUACCACGUCCAGCACCAUGGUAUAUGAGUGCAUUGGAAAGAUAAAUUGAACAAAGUGACUAGCAUCUGUCACCUUUCAAAUGCUGAUUAAUGUUAAUAGACAAUAUAUAACAAACUCUGAAGCUCAAUUACUUGUGGCACCACAGCACAGCCUGAAGACUGGAUAACAGUUUCCUGCUACGAUCUUUCAGUUCUGUAAUUAGCUGUGCCACAUGAGAACUGAUAUAUCAUCUUAUUUUAUAAUCAUGUAUGUCCUCUCUAAUUGUCUUUUACUAAUGAGUCCAUAAAGCAUGCUUUGUGCAUCACACUUUCACAUUCUAGUAGAAAAGUGGGAUGUAUUUUUAAUUUAAUUAAUUAACUUUAAUCUUUAUGAUUCUUUGACAAGUCAUUUUCAUGUCAUUGCUUGGUGAUUUGGACUUCUGUUUAGCAAGAAGUCAGUUUUAUUUCCUUAAAGUCUCUGUAAGCUACAACAAGUUGUUCAAAGCUAAAAAAACGAUUUGAAAAAGAUGGAAGAAAACUGAGAUGUAGGGUAGCCACCCUGAAGAGUGUUGGAAAACCUUUUUCAGUAGGCACACUAUUGACCUUUCUCUCAGCUCAUUUUUAUACCAAAAUAGUACCAUAGCAAUGAUCCCAUGUGAAAUUAUACUAAGUUUCUACCUAUCGCCAAUUAGAAAUUGUCAAUAUAACUGGUUAUUUGCAUCUAAAUGUUGAUUUCAUGUAGCUAUGUAACCAAGUAUUUUAAAAGUAUUUUACCAAGUUGACUACCUGAUUUUAUGUAAAAGAGUUACACAUAUCUUAGAAAACAUGUUCCUUUGACUUAAUUGUGGGCAACUAAUGCUUUAUGUACUUUUGUUUUUACUAACAGGUUUGUCAGUAGACAUAAAGGAAAAAUUGUGACUCUGUAAUACAGAGACCUUAAACAAACAAGCACUACUAUUAUUAAAAAUAAAUCAUAAUUUCCUACUGGAAGUGCAAAGAUGUAACUGAAGGGAAGGCAUGUGUUUGUAUUCUCCACUCACCUCAAGCCGCCCCCCAAAAAAACUCUUCAAAAAAGUUAAUGUCGAAAAGAUUACAGUUUACUCCAGAUACCGUCUAACUUAAUAUUUUUAAAGCUCUGUAUCACACACACAUUGCUAAAAAGUAAACAAAACUAAAAGUUGUUCUGGAAACUGGCAGUUACUCUCCCCACUUCACAACUUUCAAACACCUACUCUACUUCAACAGUCACACCAACCAAACUGUACCACACAUUCAAUUUUAACUUUGCACCUAUUGUGUCAGAAGAGCUAGAGUAUUUUUUGGUAGUUGUGUAUAUUGAUGUAUAUGGUAAUAGUGGUAUUUUAAUAGGUUUUUAUGCUUAUUGAAUUAAGUGGACGCUCAAGGAUGAUGAUGUGGAUGUUUUAGGUAGGCAUUUUUCUGUGAAGUGUUAGUAUUUUUGUAGAGGUGCGGUAUUUUGUGAUGAUGACUGUUUUUCAGGUAAUGGUUUACAGUGAAUUGUUGAAAAUUGUAGAUGUUUUUGUAUAUGUACAUUAUUAGAUGUACUUAGAGUGCAAAGUUGAGGUUGCCUGUUUGGUGCAAUUUUAUUGGUGUGAAAGUUAAUUUAGGAUAGGUGUUUGAAAGCACUGAGGUUUGAAUUUUAAGCUCAUCAGGGAUCCAGGAUCUACCUGGCUACCUCAGUUCUUACUGUCAUUACUAAUUCCAAAAUCUGGGAUGAAGGUGACCCAGCAGAAUAAAGAUAUCUCCAGAGACUUUCAGAAGUUAGCAUUUCUGCAGCUGUAGGGGAUCCCUUAAACCUUAUUGAACUAUUUGAAAUGUAAUAACUGGAAAACUUUUGACUUCUAUUUCUGCCAGUUAAGUGUUGAACAAUGACCUCUAUUAAAAGAUUUAUACUGUUAGUUAAUUCUGUUCUGUACUAAGAUCUUGCUAAUAUCGCCAUUUUAUGUGUGAAAUGAAUUAACUAGAUUUGAUUAUACCUACUUGAUAAAUAUUGGAAUAUUCCAUGUUAAAUUCAUAGAUUUAACUUUGAUUGUCAUAUCAACUUACUUUGCUAUCUAUAACUCCUUGUUUAUUAAUAUAUUUAUUAAUAGU
Non-coding RNA from Chrysemys picta bellii (western painted turtle), 4181 nucleotides. NCBI's taxonomy places the organism in Eukaryota, Metazoa, Chordata, Testudines, Emydidae. The record is from RefSeq and is a predicted model, not a curated record.